CAGCCGCCACGGGAAUACGGAGGGGGCUAGCGUUGUUCGGAAUUACUGGGCGUAAAGCGCACGUAGGCGGCUUUGUAAGUUAGAGGUGAAAGCCCGGAGCUCAACUCCGGAAUUGCCUUUAAGACUGCAGAGCUAGCAGGUGAGAGAGGUCAGUGGAAUUCCGAGUGUAGAGGUGAAAUUCGUAGAUAUUCGGAAGAACACCAGUGGCGAAGGCGACUGACUGGACAAGUAUUGACGCUGAGGUGCGAAAGCGUGGGGAGCAAACAGGAUUAGAUACCCGCGUAGUCCCUGUCUCUUAUAC
RNAcentral lists this ribosomal RNA (301 nucleotides) under uncultured bacterium. RNAcentral describes it as "partial 16S ribosomal RNA". It matches the Rfam family "Bacterial small subunit ribosomal RNA", at positions 509 to 807 of the family's 1533-position model. The record is from RNAcentral.